CACAUUUAGUUAGGAUUAGGGUUGGUAGCUGUUUAUUAGUUGCGUCUUAACUUUCCUCAUUAAAGAAAAAAAAAGUGGGGGCUGACUCCGUCGUUCCUCCAGCUAUUGGUAUUCUGCAGCAGCUGUCUGAUGGAGAUGAAGCUCUCUGACAAGGAUGGGCCGGAACUCCAGCUGCUGCACUCCUCAAACCUGACUGUGCAUCAGAAUCACCCAGAGGGGCUCGUGGAAAUCUGCCUGCCAGGCCCCAUCUCCUUUCCAGAGUGUAGGAAUCAGGAGAUCCAGGGUGGGGCUCAAGAAAGUGCAUUUCUAACAUGUUCUCCUCAGUGAAAAAAUGUCAUUUAUUAGGUCAUUUUAUUGCAUCAUAAUGUUUGGAGUCAUGACUGGCAGAUUUCACCUCCCCUUUUAAGUCCAGGCAGAGCCAGACACCAGCCCUGUUGGCUGAGGCAUCCGCCUUUGAUUGAGAGCCAAGGAAGAGCAAGAGGACAGGCCCCAGCAGAACGUGGCUGAUCUGCUGGGUAGACCAAGACCUUGGCGUUGGCCUCUCAAUUUCUGGUAUGAGAUGGGCCUGCUUAGGUUUUCUGCUUCUUUUUGAAUGAAUUUUGAAAUUUUACGUUUUCCUCAAAAAGUAUCCAUUUCGCUCAAACCUUGGAAACAGGAACACAUAUUUGUACAAACGAUUAUUUUAUAAGAUUUAAAUUUCCUAUAUAUAAAUAUCAAAUCAAUAUGUUGCAUACCUGAAACCAAUAUGAUGUUACAUGUCAAAUACAUCUCAAUAAAGAAAGCUAAAAAAAGAAUUAUAAUUUC
RNAcentral lists this long non-coding RNA (804 nucleotides) under Sus scrofa (pig). Its description in RNAcentral is "lncRNA (ENSSSCG00040060433.1)". The record is from RNAcentral. Lineage: Eukaryota; Metazoa; Chordata; Mammalia; Artiodactyla; Suidae.